GUGCACCAGGCGAGAAAACUUCACACUGUGCGAAAGCACGAUGAGGGAAUCCCAAGUGCUUGCACGUAAGUGUAAGCUGUUUCUCUGUUUAAAACGCAGAGAGAGUAAGGGCUGGGUAAGACGGGUGCCAGCCGCCGCGGUAAUACCUGCAGCUCAAGUGGUGACCGUUAUUAUUGGGCCUAAAACGUCCGUAGCCGGUUUAAUAAAUGCCUGGGUAAAUCGUGUAGCUUAACUAUACGAAUUCCGGGUAGACUGUUAAACUCGAGACCGGGAGAAGUUAGAGGUACUCCUGGGGUAGAGGUGAAAUUCUGUAAUCCUAGGGGGACCACCAGUGGCGAAGGCGUCUAACUAGAACGGGUCUGACGGUGAGGGACGAAGCCCUGGGGCGCAAACGGGAUUAGAUACCCGUGUAGU
This 414-nucleotide ribosomal RNA is filed under the name uncultured microorganism. Its description in RNAcentral is "bacterial SSU rRNA". It matches the Rfam family "Archaeal small subunit ribosomal RNA", at positions 330 to 745 of the family's 1478-position model. The record is from RNAcentral.